AAAAAUUUAGUUAAAAUAUAACAUUAGUUUGUCAAGCUAAAAUUAUCUGUAGAUAAUUUUUA
RNAcentral lists this transfer RNA (62 nucleotides) under Cochabamba sp. REN-2018. Its description in RNAcentral is "tRNA-Asp". The record is from RNAcentral. Lineage: Eukaryota; Metazoa; Arthropoda; Insecta; Coleoptera; Chrysomelidae.